This 453-nucleotide ribosomal RNA is filed under the name uncultured bacterium. RNAcentral describes it as "bacterial SSU rRNA". It matches the Rfam family "Bacterial small subunit ribosomal RNA", at positions 340 to 786 of the family's 1533-position model. The record is from RNAcentral.
UACGGGAGGCAGCAGUGGGGAAUAUUGCACAAUGGGCGCAAGCCUGAUGCAGCCAUGCCGCGUGUAUGAAGAAGGCCUUCGGGUUGUAAAGUACUUUCAGUCGUGAGGAAGGUGUUAAGGUUAAUAACCUUAGCAAUUGACGUUAGCGACAGAAGAAGCACCGGCUAACUCCGUGCCAGCAGCCGCGGUAAUACGGAGGGUGCGAGCGUUAAUCGGAAUUACUGGGCGUAAAGGGCACGCAGGCGGUUAAUUAAGUUGGAUGUGAAAUCCCCGGGCUUAACCUGGGAAUGGCAUUCAAGACUGGUUAGCUAGAGUCUUGUAGAGGGGGUAGAAUUCCAUGUGUAGCGGUGAAAUGCGUAGAGAUGUGGAGGAAUACCGGUGGCGAAGGCGGCCCCUGGACAAAGACUGACGCUCAUGCGCGAAAGCGUGGGGAGCAAACAGGGAUUAGAUACC